UUUUAUUUGAGAGUUUGAUCCUGGCUCAGGAUGAACGCUGGCGGCGUGCCUAACACAUGCAAGUUGAGCGAUUUACUUCGGUAAAGAGCGGCGGACGGGUGAGUAACGCGUGGGUAACCUACCCUGUACACACGGAUAACAUACCGAAAGGUAUGCUAAUACGGGAUAAUAUAUUUGAGAGGCAUCUCUUAAAUAUCAAAGGUGAGCCAGUACAGGAUGGACCCGCGUCUGAUUAGUUAGUUGGUAAGGUAACGGCUUACCAAGGCGACGAUCAGUAGCCGACCUGAGAGGGUGAUCGGCCACAUUGGAACUGAGACACGGUCCAAACUCCUACGGGAGGCAGCAGUGGGGAAUAUUGCACAAUGGGCGAAAGCCUGAUGCAGCAACGCCGCGUGAGUGAUGAAGGCCUUCGGGUCGUAAAACUCUGUCCUCAAGGAAGAUAAUGACGGUACUUGAGGAGGAAGCCCCGGCUAACUACGUGCCAGCAGCCGCGGUAAUACGUAGGGGGCUAGCGUUAUCCGGAUUUACUGGGCGUAAAGGGUGCGUAGGCGGUCUUUCAAGUCAGGAGUGAAAGGCUACGGCUCAACCGUAGUAAGCUCUUGAAACUGGGAGACUUGAGUGCAGGAGAGGAGAGUGGAAUUCCUAGUG
This 648-nucleotide ribosomal RNA is filed under the name Clostridioides difficile. Its description in RNAcentral is "bacterial SSU rRNA". It matches the Rfam family "Bacterial small subunit ribosomal RNA", at positions 1 to 675 of the family's 1533-position model. The record is from RNAcentral. Lineage: Bacteria; Bacillati; Bacillota; Clostridia; Peptostreptococcales; Peptostreptococcaceae.